AUGGUGCGUCAAGCGCGGAAUAAUGGACUGAUUACUGGGCUUGCCCCUGAAUUAGUGGAAAAUGGUGUGGCCAUCUUGCAGUAUGCUGAUGAUACGGUGAUUUGCAUCGAGCAUGACCCUAAGAAAGCUCUAAAUAUGAAAAUAUUGCUCUAUAUGUUUGAAUUAAUGUCAGGAUUGAAAAUCAAUUUCCAAAAAAGUGAGAUUUUGUGUGUUGGUGGGGAUGAUGAUAUUCUGACAACAUAUGCUGAUAUGUUUAAUUGUCAAAUUGGACACUUCCCCAUGAAAUACCUGGGAGUACCAGUAAGCUACUCAACUUUAAGAGGAGUGGACUGGGAAUUUUUGGAAGAAAGGUACAUUAAAAGAUGUGAAUCCGGUUUAGGGAGUAAUGCU
Molecule: ribosomal RNA, 390 nt
Filed under: Triticum aestivum (bread wheat)
Lineage: Eukaryota; Viridiplantae; Streptophyta; Magnoliopsida; Poales; Poaceae
Description: partial small subunit ribosomal RNA
Source: RNAcentral